AGAUGUUGAAGUUUUGACACCUGAUGUGUGUUGAAAUACCAUACCUUUCAAACAGAAAAGAGAUUGUAUUUAAGGUGCGUGUAAUAAAGGUUCAAUUAGGAGCCACCACGAACAUUGGCCAUGAGCAACUCAUACAGCAAGCAAGAAAUCAAUCAGGAGCCACCAAGUUCAG
Molecule: long non-coding RNA, 172 nt
Organism: Physella acuta
Lineage: Eukaryota; Metazoa; Mollusca; Gastropoda; Physidae
Source: RefSeq, a predicted model, not a curated record